CACCACUCAAGCCUCGCUUGGUAUUGGGCGACGCGGUCCGCCGCGCGCCUCAAAUCGACCGGCUGGGUCUUUCGUCCCCUCAGCGUUGUGGAAACUAUUCGCUAAAGGGUGCCGCGGGAGGCCACGCCGUAAAACAACCCCAUUUCUAA
RNAcentral lists this unclassified non-coding RNA (149 nucleotides) under uncultured Ascomycota. RNAcentral's name for it is "sequence contains ITS2". RNAcentral also lists the same sequence under 1 other name. The record is from RNAcentral. Lineage: Eukaryota; Fungi; Ascomycota.